This is a non-coding RNA of Notechis scutatus (mainland tiger snake), 1637 nucleotides long. Lineage: Eukaryota; Metazoa; Chordata; Lepidosauria; Squamata; Elapidae. The record is from RefSeq and is a predicted model, not a curated record.
CAACUGAUCGGCUGGGUCUUCUUUUGUUGCCCUGAACAGUAGAACAUAACUGGAAAGCAGCCAUCAACCUUGCAAGGUGUCCAAGAUUCCCAAGAUUCUAGCAUCUCACCAGAGAUCUCACAAGACUUCAACCUGCUUUCACCUCUGCUGAAAUUUAGUGUUACAUCUGACCAUGGGCUGUCCCAGUCUGGCCUGCGGCAGCGAACAACAUCACUGGUCAUAUCCUGGACUACAUAUCAAACCCACAAAUACGUAGCCCAAUCACAAAAACAGGUGGCCACUCUUAUGGCCUGUGUUUUCCUUUCAAGCAAUUAAUUCCAGACAUUUCUAGAAAGAAAAGCUCAAGUUCCAUCGACUGAGAAGGGCAUUUUGGCAGCCACUCAGCUCACGGAUGACAGUAUCAGGCUAAAACAUAAAAUAACCUAAAAUGGUAAAAAGCAACUUCCUGUGGUCUCUGAAUAUCAAAGCCAAACUUUAAGGACAGGCAACAGUGAUGGGCACUUUUCUGCUCCUCCUUAUGUUUGUUUGUUUGUUAUUUCCUGACCAGCACUUUUAGAUAAUAAGAACUUAGGGAGCUGUGAUCCAUAUACACUGCAUUCUCGAACUUCUGGAAGAGACCACAUUUAUUAAUGAUCAUAAAUAAAUACCAACUUCCAUCGACACAACAUUCCCGGGCCGUCUCUUUGCAGUUGAAGAAAUGUCAGAUAAAAUGAAGAAACUGGGGUGCUGCUUAUAUUCUGAUCCAUUCAGAGGCUAAGCAUCUCACCACAUCUCUUGAGACCUGGACAGCUUCUGAUUCCCCCAGAUUAACACAAUCCAGUUUAAGCAAUCAACAAUCACUUAGUUGCAAUCGCCAAGCUCGCAACCUCCUAAAAUGGGAAAUGUUGGAAUCUCACAACACUGCUGGCAGGUUAUAUCUACACUAAAUGCAUGCCAGUUUGGGCAGAUUUAACUAUACUGGUGAAUACCUUUGGGCAGGUGCCUUUUUAGAUAACCAAGUUCCUCCAUCUGACUCUUUAACAACAAUAUCAACCACAGAAACAUGCAUUCCACUCGGGCAUCAAAUUAGGUGAAUCCAAUGGGAUUCAUUCCAAGCCAAUAACAUUUGUGCUGGGUGACAGAAAUGCUUUACUAUUUUGUUCUACCUACUUUUUCAAAACUUUUUUUCUAAAAACUUCUUACUCAUGAGGAAGCCGAGCUUCCAAAUCCUUCAAGCCGUUUCGGUGUCAACCCGCUUUCCUUAUCCUUGAAAACACUUGCACACAUCUAGCAUUAGUGAAUAAUGUGAGGGAGCCACUAACUGUCUGGGAAUUUAUGGAUUCUUUUCCACCCUGAAUCAGACACCAAAACUUAAAAUUCUACAAUAUUUGAGUUAUUCAAAAAUAAUAAGCACCACUUCUCAAAACAUCUUUCUCUUGCCUAAUAAAUGAGCCUAAUAAUCUGUUUUUUAUUUCUCAGUGUGUGUUUUUUAUUUCGAAAGGUAUUCAAAUUCAUAAAUCUAAACAAAGCAUUAUACUUGUACAAGAGGUUCAAUUUUUUUAAACUUCAAGUAUUUUUUUACAUUGUUAAAAUGUUACUUUUUUUUACUCGUGUAAUUAUGUAAGAUCGAUCAUAAUAAAAGUGAAUUUUUUAACACU